UUCUCCUAAAAUAAAAUAAAUUACGAGUGAAUAACAAAUGAUAAUACUUCGGAUUUGAAAAAAAUCAAAUUUUAUUAUUAUAUAUUUCUACUUAUAUAUGUAUUUUAUAUUUGAAAGAACGGUAGAAUUUUCAAGCGAUAAGGGGAAACGUAAGUACGGCCGAACGAUAAGGUGGAAGGGGAAACGGACGAAGAGGAUUCCCUUCCCGCCAAGAAACCUAAGGAUACGGAAAGAAACUGGAGGGGACUUUCCGUUAAAAUAUGGCGAAACAGGAAGACGCUAAGAACGAUGGAAUUCUUUAGUGGAAGGGAACCAUGAAAUAUGACUAUGUAUCUCAUCAAAUUACGUUCGAUUGAAGACAGAAAGCUGAAUCUAAGAGAGCGUUGCUCAUGACCAGGGUGAAUUUUCGUAAUGGCAUACACGCGCCGUGUGUAUAUCGGCGAUACGAGGAAAGAGGGCAUAGAAAACUCGCAGAACUGCAUCAUCCAAUCAAAGGGACGAAUCGACUAAGACUAGGUGGUGGGGGUAAACGUAGGGAUUGGCAGACGCUAUGAUACAUGUUUGUAGAAGGGAUGUGUUCGUGCUGCGUAAAGCACACGAAAAGGGGAAAGAGAAGCACGAAGAAGCAGCGUGCCUGGAUAUAUCGUGCAUGGACUACACACAGCCACUGGUGAAGUUCAAAAUUAUUAAAAACAAUCUAAAUAUGAAAGUUAAAGAUAAAUGAAAAAAGAAAAUAAUUAAAUUUCAAUAGUAAUAUUACAAAUCAUAGGCAUCAAGAUCGUACUGUUUCAAGGUAAAACGUUUCAUAUUAACAUACGUCUUUAUUAAACGGAAUGUAAUAUCUCAUUUCAUAAACUUGAUGAUUAAGCAUAACGUAUCAAUAUCAAUGCCAAGUUAAUCUCUAUAAUAAAAAUCAAUGGUACUAUCUUAACGUUACUCAAGCUAUUGUAACGAAGCGUAAGCACAAUACCCAUCUAAUAAUAUUCUUGUCUCGUCGUACUAUAAGAAAGGACACUUGUAAUUUAUAAAACCGCUGUGAUUCAGGAUAGUACAGAGCGAUUAUGAUACGUCCCUUUGAAACUUGAUGCGCUUUUUCUUUGAACCAGAAUCUGUUGGCAACUGCUACUACCGCUAUAUGCAUUCAUGGCGUUGUCGAGUAGUUUACAACGAACGGUAAGUGACAGUGACGUACAGACGUCUAGUGGUCAUGAAACGACGAUGCUAUUUGUUAUCCCACAAACACGAUUACCUAUCAACGUAUUCCUAAUCACGAGGUCUUUCCAGAUAACCCAACGCUUAUAACCUAUUGCAUAGAUUCAUUUCACUUCUCUUGACUCGAGUAAGUCAUGAACAAUCGUUAUAUAAUUCUUCUGUAACACGUAUUAAUUUGAUCAUAUUGUGCUAUUAAAGACAUUUUUACGUACGAAUGAAAUAUAAUCGACGCUACAGAACAGAAAACUAACAAAUUUCAAUAGAAAUAAUAAUCUAUGCAAUAAGACAAUCGAUAAAGUAGAUUAAAUAUAUUAACAGUAACAUAAGAUCCAUAUUUCUGCUUUCCAUAAAAAAAAAAUAUAUUCAUUUUUUAUUGCAAUAAAUUAAAGAAUGUUAUGUCUCGUAUAAGGUCACAAUAUUGAACAAAUACAUUGAGAUCUCCAGUGUUAUUUGAAAUUCCCGCCUUUUUCCCGUCUUCCAUAUUCGCCUCCACCAUAGUGUCCGUGAGUUGUAAAUAACAUUCAUCAUAUUUGCUACGUAACUACAUAAUCAGAGCGCAACGGUAACGUAUCAAAUCAGAAUGAAAGCAAAUUUUAUGUAGGAUAAACACUCGUAUUUACUGCAAUCGGCACGAAGCGUGAAAAAAAAGAAGAACAAACAGGUAUUAUCAAAUUUUCUUAUCUCCGAAUUGAUAAAUGAACAAACGUGACUAGGUAUAGUAAUAAAAUAAUAACGUAUCAAUCUAAUAUAAGAAGCACGUAUAAUUAUGGUUUCCACGUGACAUACAAUUCUUGCUGGGCGAAGACACCACCACCACAGGCCUUUCUACCAAUGUGAACGGAAACUAUCGAAGAUACCGACAUUUUAGGCUAAGAAUUUCACCUUGUAACUUCCAUGGAAACAGUCGUAACGAUGUAUUAUCGACUAAAAAUAAGCAGCUCCCUAUCACGACGCCGAAUGGUGGUCGGUCGGUCCGAUUCAAGAUGAAAAAUCGCCACGAUGUUUUCUCGAAGGUUUGUAACACUACGCGGCAUACUACGAAAGACAGGGAAGCAGGAGAGGUACGGGUAUAUAAUACAUGGCGUUAGCUGCUGGCUGCGCGCGUGGGGUUUUCGAUGGAAAGAGAGAACCAAACGCGGGCAAAAGACGCGGGCAGGGAGACACGGUGCGACAGAGAGAGAGAGAGAGAAAAGUAAAGCGAGAAAGGAAGCCUUCGGGGACGGUGUUUAUGCACGCAGAUCGGUAAACAAUUUUAGAGCAACACGUCGACCUGAAAGAGAUAUGUGUUAGUCUAUCGAUCGUCCGUCAGACACGAUUAACCCUCUUACAACGAAUUAUCGAUCAAUUACGACAAAGAGAGAGUGAGAGAGAAAAGGCGCGAGAAAGAACGAGAAGAGAUGAGAGGAAGGAAGGAGAAGAUGGAACGAGUAAGGGAGAAAGCACAAUGAACGCGGGCUUGGUUUCAGGCGCCAUAAUGGAAACCCACAGAGCGGUGGCGGUAGCAACGGCGGUCGGAAAAAUGCGCGGGAUGCUCGCUUUUCCUACCUAUAACUGUAAUACUCAAAGUAAAAAAUGGCGUCCAUUAUGUAGAGAGACCGACCGAGCAAUGUAAAUUAUAUUUAGAGCGAUAUUUACUUGAAACACUGCGUAUAAGUAAAGAACAUUUAAUACGAAACCGUACGAAAUGAGCACAUGGCGCUAGUAGCCAAGAUCCCGCCUGAUUAAUAUGUUUAUUUUAACAAAAUACAACUAAUCAAUUGUAAAUUCUGAUGUUAGCCAGAAACAUUAAAUUCAGAUCGGUAAUUAUAGACGACAUUGUAACAACAGGGGUGAUCAACCGAACUAUCGUGCUCGUGGGAGCCACGCGAAAUAUGAUGGCGUCCCUUGGCGCUCGAUCAGGAAAACAUUACGAUUGUGUACAUUCCUGUCCUGUUUACAGGGGGGGAAAUUGAUACAAUUGUGUUUCUUGAUGUUAUGAAAAUAUAGAGCCUAAUGAAAAUGCCGGCCGGCAUCCUUUUCUCUUCCAUGCCGUCAGUCGGUUGAAACGGCCACUCGACUGCCCGCCCACCGAAUUGUUCACGAGACUUACAACGAUAUUGCGUGCACAAUUCAGAAACUGAUUUUGAUUGGGAACGCAAUAGGAAUCUAUAAAUACAUUUCACGAAUUGGGAAAAUUCAUUGGAAGAAAAUUCAUGAUUACAGAAUUUUCAAUUCGCUUAUAUAAAUAUGAAUCCAAAAUUGUAGACAAUAACCGUGACCGAAGCAGCGUGGCGCGGAAGCAUGGUGCAAGCCGGCAUGUACGUGCUUUUCGUGUGUAUGCGUAUGCUUACGUAGAAUCAUGAUAAAGUAUCAAGAAUACUGUACGAUGAAAAAUUAGGUGGGAAAAAAGUACUACAACUCACCUCGGCCGGCCUCUUCAUUCCUUUGAUCUCACACUUCGCGUCUCCGGAAGCCUUGUCGUUCUCAGUCACCUUCUCUACGGCGACCUCGUUGUUUUCUUUGCUGCUCAUGGUGAAUAGAUGCGUUGGGCAAGAUGCCUGAGUGGUCUUCUUAUAAACGGUGGAAAAGAUAGAGCGAUGUGUACACGUAACAAAACUCUGUCCUCGCGCGGCGUCGGUUUCCGGCGAAA
Molecule: long non-coding RNA, 3841 nt
Organism: Osmia lignaria (orchard mason bee)
Lineage: Eukaryota; Metazoa; Arthropoda; Insecta; Hymenoptera; Megachilidae
Source: RefSeq, a predicted model, not a curated record